Molecule: ribosomal RNA, 273 nt
Filed under: uncultured bacterium
Lineage: Bacteria
Description: partial 16S ribosomal RNA
Rfam family: Bacterial small subunit ribosomal RNA
Source: RNAcentral
UACGUAGGGCGCAAGCGUUAUCCGGAAUUAUUGGGCGUAAAGAGCUCGUAGGCGGUUUGUCGCGUCUGCUGUGAAAGACCGGGGCUCAACUCCGGUUCUGCAGUGGGUACGGGCAGACUAGAGUGCAGUAGGGGAGACUGGAAUUCCUGGUGUAGCGGUGAAAUGCGCAGAUAUCAGGAGGAACACCGAUGGCGAAGGCAGGUCUCUGGGCUGUAACUGACGCUGAGGAGCGAAAGCAUGGGGAGCGAACAGGAUUAGAAACCCCCGUAGUCC